Molecule: small nucleolar RNA, 100 nt
Organism: Trypanosoma brucei brucei TREU927
Lineage: Eukaryota; Euglenozoa; Kinetoplastea; Trypanosomatida; Trypanosomatidae
Source: RefSeq, a predicted model, not a curated record
GCGAGUGAUGAGAACAUGGAACUAUUGCACGUUUAUAUGAUAAGGCAACUUGAUGACUUACACACGCUUCACUAAAUAUCGUACGAGCGAUUACUGAUCA